Molecule: ribosomal RNA, 1017 nt
Filed under: uncultured bacterium
Lineage: Bacteria
Description: bacterial SSU rRNA
Rfam family: Bacterial small subunit ribosomal RNA
Source: RNAcentral
UGAGGAAUAUUGGUCAAUGGACGAGAGUCUGAACCAGCCAAGUAGCGUGAAGGAUGACUGCCCUAUGGGUUGUAAACUUCUUUUAUAUGGGAAUAAAGUGGUCCACGUGUGGAUUUUUGUAUGUACCAUAUGAAUAAGGAUCGGCUAACUCCGUGCCAGCAGCCGCGGUAAUACGGAGGAUCCGAGCGUUAUCCGGAUUUAUUGGGUUUAAAGGGAGCGUAGGUGGACAGUUAAGUCAGUUGUGAAAGUUUGCGGCUCAACCGUAAAAUUGCAGUUGAUACUGGCUGUCUUGAGUACAGUAGAGGUGGGCGGAAUUCGUGGUGUAGCGGUGAAAUGCUUAGAUAUCACGAAGAACUCCGAUUGCGAAGGCAGCUCACUGGACUGCAACUGACACUGAUGCUCGAAAGUGUGGGUAUCAAACAGGAUUAGAUACCCUGGUAGUCCACACAGUAAACGAUGAAUACUCGCUGUUUGCGAUAUACAGUAAGCGGCCAAGCGAAAGCAUUAAGUAUUCCACCUGGGGAGUACGCCGGCAACGGUGAAACUCAAAGGAAUUGACGGGGGCCCGCACAAGCGGAGGAACAUGUGGUUUAAUUCGAUGAUACGCGAGGAACCUUACCCGGGCUUAAAUUGCAUUUGAAUAAUCAAGAAAUUGGUUAGUCGUAAGACAAAUGUGAAGGUGCUGCAUGGUUGUCGUCAGCUCGUGCCGUGAGGCGUCGGCUUAAGUGCCAUAACGAGCGCAACCCUUAUCUUCAGUUACUAACAGGUCAUGCUGAGGACUCUGGAGAGACUGCCGUCGUAAGAUGUGAGGAAGGUGGGGAUGACGUCAAAUCAGCACGGCCCUUACGUCCGGGGCUACACACGUGUUACAAUGGGGGGUACAGAAGGCCGCUACCUGGUGACAGGAUGCUAAUCCCAAAAGCCUCUCUCAGUUCGGAUCGAAGCCUGCAACCCGACUUCGUGAAGCUGGAUUCGCUAGUAAUCGCGCAUCAGCCAUGGCGCGGUGAAUACGUUCCC